Molecule: ribosomal RNA, 2920 nt
Filed under: Bacillus anthracis str. Western North America USA6153
Lineage: Bacteria; Bacillati; Bacillota; Bacilli; Caryophanales; Bacillaceae
Description: bacterial LSU rRNA
Rfam family: Bacterial large subunit ribosomal RNA
Source: RNAcentral
UUAAGUUAGAAAGGGCGCACGGUGGAUGCCUUGACACUAGGAGUCGAUGAAGGACGGGACUAACGCCGAUAUGCUUCGGGGAGCUGUAAGUAAGCUUUGAUCCGAAGAUUUCCGAAUGGGGAAACCCACCAUACGUAAUGGUAUGGUAUCCUUAUCUGAAUACAUAGGGUAAGGAAGACAGACCCAGGGAACUGAAACAUCUAAGUACCUGGAGGAAGAGAAAGCAAAUGCGAUUUCCUGAGUAGCGGCGAGCGAAACGGAACAUAGCCCAAACCAAGAGGCUUGCCUCUUGGGGUUGUAGGACAUUCUAUACGGAGUUACAAAGGAACGAGGUAGACGAAGCGACCUGGAAAGGUCCGUCGUAGAGGGUAACAACCCCGUAGUCGAAACUUCGUUCUCUCUUGAAUGUAUCCUGAGUACGGCGGAACACGUGAAAUUCCGUCGGAAUCUGGGAGGACCAUCUCCCAAGGCUAAAUACUCCCUAGUGAUCGAUAGUGAACCAGUACCGUGAGAGAAAGGUGAAAAGCACCCCGGAAGGGGAGUGAAAGAGAUCCUGAAACCGUGUGCCUACAAAUAGUCAGAGCCCGUUAAUGGGUGAUGGCGUGCCUUUUGUAGAAUGAACCGGCGAGUUACGAUCCCGUGCGAGGUUAAGCUGAAGAGGCGGAGCCGCAGCGAAAGCGAGUCUGAAUAGGGCGUUUAGUACGUGGUCGUAGACCCGAAACCAGGUGAUCUACCCAUGUCCAGGGUGAAGUUCAGGUAACACUGAAUGGAGGCCCGAACCCACGCACGUUGAAAAGUGCGGGGAUGAGGUGUGGGUAGCGGAGAAAUUCCAAUCGAACCUGGAGAUAGCUGGUUCUCCCCGAAAUAGCUUUAGGGCUAGCCUUAAGUGUAAGAGUCUUGGAGGUAGAGCACUGAUUGGACUAGGGGUCCUCAUCGGAUUACCGAAUUCAGUCAAACUCCGAAUGCCAAUGACUUAUCCUUAGGAGUCAGACUGCGAGUGAUAAGAUCCGUAGUCAAAAGGGAAACAGCCCAGACCGCCAGCUAAGGUCCCAAAGUGUGUAUUAAGUGGAAAAGGAUGUGGAGUUGCUUAGACAACUAGGAUGUUGGCUUAGAAGCAGCCACCAUUUAAAGAGUGCGUAAUAGCUCACUAGUCGAGUGACUCUGCGCCGAAAAUGUACCGGGGCUAAAUACACCACCGAAGCUGCGGAUUGAUACCAAUGGUAUCAGUGGUAGGGGAGCGUUCUAAGGACAGUGAAGUCAGACCGGAAGGACUGGUGGAGUGCUUAGAAGUGAGAAUGCCGGUAUGAGUAGCGAAAGACGGGUGAGAAUCCCGUCCACCGAAUGCCUAAGGUUUCCUGAGGAAGGCUCGUCCGCUCAGGGUUAGUCAGGACCUAAGCCGAGGCCGACAGGCGUAGGCGAUGGACAACAGGUUGAUAUUCCUGUACCACCUCUUUAUCGUUUGAGCAAUGGAGGGACGCAGAAGGAUAGAAGAAGCGUGCGAUUGGUUGUGCACGUCCAAGCAGUUAGGCUGAUAAGUAGGCAAAUCCGCUUAUCGUGAAGGCUGAGCUGUGAUGGGGAAGCUCCUUAUGGAGCGAAGUCUUUGAUUCCCCGCUGCCAAGAAAAGCUUCUAGCGAGAUAAAAGGUGCCUGUACCGCAAACCGACACAGGUAGGCGAGGAGAGAAUCCUAAGGUGUGCGAGAGAACUCUGGUUAAGGAACUCGGCAAAAUGACCCCGUAACUUCGGGAGAAGGGGUGCUUUCUUAACGGAAAGCCGCAGUGAAUAGGCCCAAGCGACUGUUUAGCAAAAACACAGCUCUCUGCGAAGCCGUAAGGCGAAGUAUAGGGGGUGACACCUGCCCGGUGCUGGAAGGUUAAGGAGAGGGGUUAGCGUAAGCGAAGCUCUGAACUGAAGCCCCAGUAAACGGCGGCCGUAACUAUAACGGUCCUAAGGUAGCGAAAUUCCUUGUCGGGUAAGUUCCGACCCGCACGAAAGGUGUAACGAUUUGGGCACUGUCUCAACCAGAGACUCGGUGAAAUUAUAGUACCUGUGAAGAUGCAGGUUACCCGCGACAGGACGGAAAGACCCCGUGGAGCUUUACUGUAGCCUGAUAUUGAAUUUUGGUACAGUUUGUACAGGAUAGGCGGGAGCCUUUGAAACCGGAGCGCUAGCUUCGGUGGAGGCGCUGGUGGGAUACCGCCCUGACUGUAUUGAAAUUCUAACCUACGGGUCUUAUCGACCCGGGAGACAGUGUCAGGUGGGCAGUUUGACUGGGGCGGUCGCCUCCUAAAGUGUAACGGAGGCGCCCAAAGGUUCCCUCAGAAUGGUUGGAAAUCAUUCGUAGAGUGCAAAGGCAUAAGGGAGCUUGACUGCGAGACCUACAAGUCGAGCAGGGACGAAAGUCGGGCUUAGUGAUCCGGUGGUUCCGCAUGGAAGGGCCAUCGCUCAACGGAUAAAAGCUACCCCGGGGAUAACAGGCUUAUCUCCCCCAAGAGUCCACAUCGACGGGGAGGUUUGGCACCUCGAUGUCGGCUCAUCGCAUCCUGGGGCUGUAGUCGGUCCCAAGGGUUGGGCUGUUCGCCCAUUAAAGCGGUACGCGAGCUGGGUUCAGAACGUCGUGAGACAGUUCGGUCCCUAUCCGUCGUGGGCGUAGGAAAUUUGAGAGGAGCUGUCCUUAGUACGAGAGGACCGGGAUGGACGCACCGCUGGUGUACCAGUUGUUCUGCCAAGGGCAUAGCUGGGUAGCUAUGUGCGGAAGGGAUAAGUGCUGAAAGCAUCUAAGCAUGAAGCCCCCCUCAAGAUGAGAUUUCCCAUAGCGUAAGCUAGUAAGAUCCCUGAAAGAUGAUCAGGUUGAUAGGUUCGAGGUGGAAGCAUGGUGACAUGUGGAGCUGACGAAUACUAAUAGAUCGAGGACUUAACCAU